This 340-nucleotide ribosomal RNA is filed under the name Salipiger sp. g1. RNAcentral's name for it is "bacterial SSU rRNA". It matches the Rfam family "Bacterial small subunit ribosomal RNA", at positions 1032 to 1394 of the family's 1533-position model. The record is from RNAcentral. Lineage: Bacteria; Pseudomonadati; Pseudomonadota; Alphaproteobacteria; Rhodobacterales; Roseobacteraceae.
UGACAGGUGCUGCAUGGCUGUCGUCAGCUCGUGUCGUGAGAUGUUCGGUUAAGUCCGGCAACGAGCGCAACCCACAUCCUUAGUUGCCAGCAGUUCGGCUGGGCACUCUAGGGAAACUGCCCGUGAUAAGCGGGAGGAAGGUGUGGAUGACGUCAAGUCCUCAUGGCCCUUACGGGUUGGGCUACACACGUGCUACAAUGGUGUCUACAGUGGGUUAAUCCCCAAAAGACAUCUCAGUUCGGAUUGUCGUCUGCAACUCGACGGCAUGAAGUCGGAAUCGCUAGUAAUCGCGUAACAGCAUGACGCGGUGAAUACGUUCCCGGGCCUUGUACACACCGCC